AUUCCUGACUGCAAGCCUGGCCCACAAACUUUCAGCUUGCUACAGUCAUUGGUUAGUAGAACUUGGAAGUUUUAGGGACUACAAUACAGUUAAAUACAGAAAAAUCUAGUUGAAUUUAUCACAAAAUGACAAUGUGACUAGUCUACAUUAACAGCAACUAAAAUAUGAAAUCCUAUUGCCUCACCUAUGAAACUCAUCAUCUGGCCACCAGAGAAUCCAUGGAAGGGGAGUAGCACACUAAGUAUGUCCCAUCCCCAUUCUUUGUCACCUUUGCAAGCUCUAUAUUACCUUAUUAGAAAGAUAGUAAAGUAAAUAGAAAUAGCAUCCAAUGUCAUGAACAGAGCAAUAAAAUUACCAGAUAUGCGGUAGUGAAUUUGAUUUGCAUAAAACCUCCAAAUGCAUACCACUAGGUGUCAUGACAGCCACAGAUUCUGGGGCCUCUCCAGUCAAUGGUGAAGGUCUGAGGAAUGUGGGCACAAAUUCCUGACUCCAAGCCUGAUCCAGACACAUGCAACUUGUUGGCAUCAUUAGUAGGCACACAACACUUGGAACACAACUGGACUGCAACAUAUAAGAAAUGACAGAACUGAAAUGCAAUAUGGUUUGUAAAAAUCAUGCUUCACAUACAGAUAUAAGAUCUUAAAUUUUAUCACCCUGUUGUUGCAGCAAAUGUCCUCUGUAUUCAAGGUGUAAAGGGCUUCUAAAGUCUUGACUUGCCCUAACAAAAAAAGUACCAACCCCUGUAAAAAUGUCAGUUAAUUAUAAUCCAGUUUCUGUUGCUGCAGGAUUCAUUUUCUUGCUGUGGAAAAUUGGUCAGAUUAGGAUCCUGCAUCUGUACAGCAUAACUAUAUUAAAAAUGUACACUAAACAUUUCCCUUCUGAAACCCCCCCUCCCCCCUGAUAUCUUACCUGGAGAAUGCCUCUUCAUAGGCAUAUUUGACCACCAGAGUGAGGACCCACCAUAGAAGGGUAGUAGGCCACUGACUCCAGUCCCAGACACCUUCACUUGCCUCUUGUAAACAGCCGGAUGCACAACAACCUCGGAGGCGAAAUUGGCUACCACUUUCCCACCAUACUUCAGCCGUAGCGUGUACACACCAGCGAUGAGGAGCAGAUAUACCACCCUAUAGGAACUAUCUUGUACAAGUUCCAUCCUCAUUAUCGGAACACUUUAUUUUCGUCGGGCUGGGGCCGUCUACUGUCACCUUGAGCCGAUGGCUGCCGGAGCUGUUUAUGUCUAUGGUGAACUCUGCUAGGGUUCCCACGAAACCACCCUUGACCUAAAAAAAGGAUGAAAGCAUCAAAUGUUAUCAUAAAAGCUGUUAGUAUAUACUUUAAAUGAAGAGUAAUGCAAUGUCUCUGGAUGUAGUGGACAUCAUACAUUGGAGGCAUUAGCUGACCAGUCUGCCGGGCCGGUUACAUGCAAAUCAAGCUUGUACAACAAAUCAGUGCUGUCUGAAAAUCCCUGGUCCGUCUCUCCUGCAGUACAGCAUGCAAUACAAUUAGUAUGAGAAUGAAGAUAGAGAGUUUAUGUGUAAAAUCAGCUCACCAGGCUUCCCUGGCCCUUUAGCUGGAAUGUUUGAGCAGUUUAAUUAUGGUUCUAUUCUAACUCUGUCAGGGGUCACCUAAAAUAGACAACAAUUUCAGACAAAGACAAAUAAAUAUAUAUAUUUGUCUUGUUGAAUGGUUCAUAUUUUAAUCAUUCUAUUUUUACUUACUUUGAAAGGACUGCCAGGGACACUGACCCCUCCUCCAAAUCACACAGAUAGCAUGUUUGGCCAGAGUGGUUGGAGUGUAGUAGCAUGUAUAGAGGCUCCGCUCUUUACGAACCACCUCCACAUUGACUGGGACUUCAUCAAUGGGUUAGAGGAAUUAUAUACACAUAGAAUAAGUCCUACUUUAAGGCCAUAUACAACAGUAAUAACUGUAGUGAAUACUAAUGUACAUCAUAUCUAGCACAGUUCAUUAUGGCAAAGAACUUUAGUAAAGUGGGACCGGAGUGCCAAGUCUAGGUCCAAGAGGCUUCUAAACAGCUUCUACCCCCAAGCCAUAAGACUCCUGAACACCUAAUCAAAUGGCUACCCAGACUAUUUGCAGAUGCGAAUUCUGGAGAAGUGCAGAAUGUUCCAAA
This 2131-nucleotide long non-coding RNA is filed under the name Salmo salar (Atlantic salmon). RNAcentral describes it as "lncRNA (ENSSSAG00000108564.1)". The record is from RNAcentral. Lineage: Eukaryota; Metazoa; Chordata; Actinopteri; Salmoniformes; Salmonidae.